UACAGAGGUCCCGAGCGUUGUUCGGAUUCACUGGGCGUAAAGGGUGCGUAGGUGGCCUGAAAAGUUUGAUGUGAAAGCUCAGGGCUUAACCCUGAAAUGGCAUUGAAUACUGUCGGGCUGGAGGUUUGGAGGGGGGACUGGAAUUCUUGGUGUAGCAGUGAAAUGCGUAGAUAUCAAGAGGAACGCCAGUGGCGAAGGCGAGUCCCUGGACAACACCUGACACUGAGGCACGAAAGCUAGGGGAGCAAACAGG
Molecule: ribosomal RNA, 253 nt
Filed under: uncultured bacterium
Lineage: Bacteria
Description: partial 16S ribosomal RNA
Rfam family: Bacterial small subunit ribosomal RNA
Source: RNAcentral